GAUGAACGCUGGCGGCGUGCCUAAUACAUGCAAGUCGAGCGAACGGACGAGAAGCUUGCUUCUCUGAUGUUAGCGGCGGACGGGUGAGUAACACGUGGAUAACCUACCUAUAAGACUGGGAGAACUUCGGGAAACCGGAGCUAAUACCGGAUAAUAUUUUGAACCGCAUGGUUCAAGAGUGAAAGACGGUCUUGCUGUCACUUAUAGAUGGAUCCGCGCUGCAUUAGCUAGUUGGUAAGGUAACGGCUUACCAAGGCAACGAUGCAUAGCCGACCUGAGAGGGUGAUCGGCCACACUGGAACUGAGACACGGUCCAGACUCCUACGGGAGGCAGCAGUAGGGAAUCUUCCGCAAUGGGCGAAAGCCUGACGGAGCAACGCCGCGUGAGUGAUGAAGGUCUUCGGAUCGUAAAACUCUUUUAUUAGGGAAGAACAUAUGUGUAAGUAACUGUGCACAUCUUGACGGUACCUAAUCAGAAAGCCACGGCUAACUACGUG
This 497-nucleotide ribosomal RNA is filed under the name uncultured bacterium. RNAcentral's name for it is "partial 16S ribosomal RNA". It matches the Rfam family "Bacterial small subunit ribosomal RNA", at positions 28 to 507 of the family's 1533-position model. The record is from RNAcentral.